This 707-nucleotide long non-coding RNA is filed under the name Cricetulus griseus (Chinese hamster). Its description in RNAcentral is "lncRNA (ENSCGRG00015029012.1)". Lineage: Eukaryota; Metazoa; Chordata; Mammalia; Rodentia; Cricetidae. The record is from RNAcentral.
CCUUAUUGGAGUAGAUAUGACCUUGUUGAAGGAAGUAUAUCACUGUGGGGUGGGCUUUGAAGGCUCAAUGCAUGCCCAGUGUGGCAGAAGCAUACUUCUACUGCCUGUGGGUCAAGAUGCAGAACUCUCAGCUCCUUCUCCAGAACCACGUCUGCCUGGAUGCCACCAUGUCCCACCACAAUGAUACCAGGCUAAACCUCUGAACUGUCUUGUGCAGGCAACCAGAGCUGCUGUGGGUUCCUGAGAGCAAGAGUCCUACAAUGUCCGGAAGACACUAUUUUGCAGCAAUCAUCCCCUCCUUCUUCUACGACUUCUACUGAACCUUUGAGCUGAUGAUAAAAAUUCGAGAGACUUGGAAGAACCCCUAGGCCCUCCCAGAUGGUGGAGUCAUUAAAUGGAACCCUGGGUCCUCAAGUCACUGCAGGGAAAGCUGCUAUCACACAUCCAAUGGCAUUUUUACUGCAUAACAAGAAAACAAACAAGCAGACACCCCUCUGGUGUUAAACUUCUUUGGUUAAAAUGAAAUAAAUCUUUUGAAAAAUUGCAUGUGACUGGAAAGAUGACUUGGUACUUAUGGUCUUGUAGAGGUCUUGCAUCGUGUUCCAAGAACCUAUGUUGGGCAGCUUACAAACAGCUCUGACACGCUACGAUGGCCUCCAAGGGCAGUAGAUGUGUGUGUGUAAACAUAAACAUAAAAUAAAUCUUAA